GGUGGGAGCACAGGUGUUCUUUCCUUUCUUGAGCCUCUCCCCAUUCUGGAACCUUCUUCCCCAUCACCGAGGCCCGGCUCCACCCUCAUCACAGAGCUGAGCCAGGUGGCCCCGAGCCCACCGGCUCUCCCCACUGACCACUCGACUCGGCUUGACUCUGAAUGUCUGGUCCUGUGAAGCCACGUCUGCUCGUGUGGCUUUGGCAUCAGUGGCCAAGGGAGAGACAGCCGUUGAAAGCCUAAUUUGGGAGUUACACGCAUUCUCCUGCCCAGCCAGAAAAAGCCCUCAGGCUGGUGAUGGGCGCCUUGCAAGCAAGCACCCAGCUCCCUGACCGCAGCUCCUCCCCUAGAGGCGAAGCAGGGGAUUUACCGGUGCCGGGUAACCAAUUAACGCCGUGGGACAGAGGACCGGCAGGCCACCGGGACUGCAGAUGGCACACGUUUCCUCUGACCUCGGGAGAACGAAUGGAGGCUUUUCUCCCUGCCAAGGCGGGACAAAUGAGCACCCAGGAAACCCGGCAAUUGAAGGGGGCUGCUGAGACAGGAAGAAAGGGGCAGCUGGAUUGGGAAGGGCUCUGGACAAAUUGUGCCACCUCGCCAGGCCAUCCUGGGGAAGGUGCCGGGUGGGCCUAG
This 632-nucleotide long non-coding RNA is filed under the name Felis catus (domestic cat). RNAcentral's name for it is "lncRNA (ENSFCAG00000045803.2)". The record is from RNAcentral. Lineage: Eukaryota; Metazoa; Chordata; Mammalia; Carnivora; Felidae.